AAAGUGUGGGAUAGAGGAGUGGACAGUAAGGUAGGCUGGGAACUGGCUGACUGGCUGAGCUCAGAGGGUUUUAUUGAUCGGCAACGUCAGUGUGCCCUACACCAUGCCUCUGCCACCUCGCUGGAGCAGUUUGUGUGUUCCUAUCGUAAAAACCUGGCUCUUGGAGGGCCGGGGGGCAAGGCGAGGCAGAGCUGGAGGUGGUGUCAGGGAGGCCUCAGCUCUGGGAGGCCAGCACCGCCCUGCAGCCUCCUGGCGCCCACCGGGUGCCACAGCUCCAUGCUGCCUAGCAACAAGCGCAAGCGGCCUCGCUAUUGGCUGCACCCAGAGGCGCCAAGGCAGGCGGCCAAUGCGGCGGCGCCUGACUGUGAGGGAGCAGUGGUGUCACAGGGCAGGGUGGGUGACAUGGUGCUGGGUGUGCUGGGGAUGCAGCACUCCAGUGAUGGCAACGCACAGGCGAGGCGCGGCCGGUGGGCUGCUUGUGGCCCCUGAGGAGCCCUGAGGAGUGCUUCUGUGUGCAGCUUUUGGUGUUUUCUUCAUUGCGGCCCAUGAGGAGUUCUUCAUCAUGCAACUUUUGGGGAUCUCUUCACCACGUUUUCCCUGAGGAGAGCUUCAUCGUCCAGCUUUUGGUGUUUCUUCACUGCAGCCUCUGAGGAAUGCUUUGUUGGGCAGCUUUGGUGUUUUCUUCACUACGGCCCUGAGGAGUUCUUCAUCGUUCACCUUAUGGGGGUUUUCCCCACACCACGUUUCCCCUGAAGAGGGCUUCAGCAUUCAGCUCUUCGUGUUUUCUUCACUAUGGCACUUGAGGAGUAAUUCUUCGUGGAGCUUUUUGUUUUUUCUUCUCCUUGUUGCCCUGAGGAGUGCUUCUGUGUGCAGCUUUUGGUGUUGUCUUCACUACGGCCCUGAGGAGUUCUUCAUCAUCGAUCUUUUGGGGUUCUCUUCACUUCAGCCCCUUAGGUUUGCUUUGUCGAGCAGCGUUUGGUAUUUUCUUCACUGCAGCCCUUGAGGAGUUCUACAUUGUCCAGCUUUUGGGGUUCUCUUCACCACGUUGACCCUGAGGAGUGCUUCAUCGUGCAGCUUUGGGUGUUUUCUUCACUGCGGCCCUGUGGAGUUCUGCAUCUUCCAGGUUUUUGGGGUUUUUCCCAAACCACGUUUCCCCUGAAGAGGGCUUCAUCAUUCAGCUCUUUGUGUUUUCUUCACUAUGGCACUUGAGGAUUAAUUCUUCGUGGAGCUUUUCGUCUUUUCUCCUUGUGGCCCCUGAGGAGUGCUUCUGCGUGCAGCUUUUGGUGUUUUCUUCACUAUGGCCCUGAGGAGUUCUUCACCAUUCAACUUUUGGGGUUCUCUUCACUUCGGCUACUGAGGAGUUCCUCAUCGUGCAGCGUUUGGCAUUUUCUUCACAGCGGCCCUGAGGAGUUCUGCACCAUCCAGCUUUUGGGGUUCUCCUCACCAUGGUUUCUCUGAGGAGAGCUUCAUCAUGCAGCUUUUGGUGUUGUUUUCACCUUGUUGCCCCUGACAAGUGCUUCAUCUUUUAACUUUUGGUGUUUUUCUCUCAUUCCAGGCCCUGAGGAGUUUUUCAUCAUGCAGCUAUUUGUAUUCUCUUCACUUUGGCCCUUGAGGACUUCUUCAUCGUGCAGCUUUGGGUGUUUUCUUCACUGCGGCCCCUGAGGACUUCUUCACUGUGCAGCUUUGGGUGUUUUUUUCACUGUGGCCCUUUUUGGCAUCUGCCAUGUCUGCAGCCAGACCGACAGCUCAGCUGCAUGAAGUGUGAAGAAGGACAUUCUUCUGUUUGUUUUCAAUCUGCCAACCGAUCCUUUCAUGUAGAGCUCUUUCUUUUUUGUA
This is a long non-coding RNA of Cygnus olor (mute swan), 1836 nucleotides long. RefSeq lists it as uncharacterized. The transcript has 2 exons. Lineage: Eukaryota; Metazoa; Chordata; Aves; Anseriformes; Anatidae. The record is from RefSeq and is a predicted model, not a curated record.